Molecule: ribosomal RNA, 467 nt
Filed under: uncultured bacterium
Lineage: Bacteria
Description: partial 16S ribosomal RNA
Rfam family: Bacterial small subunit ribosomal RNA
Source: RNAcentral
ACGAACGCUGGCGGCGUGCUUAACCCCUGCAAGUCGAACGGAAAGGCCCUGCUUUUGUGGGGUGCUCGAGUGGCGAACGGGUGAGUAACACGUGAGUAACCUGCCCUUGACUUUGGGAUAACUUCAGGAAACUGGGGCUAAUACCGGAUAGGAGCUCCUGCUGCAUGGUGGGGGUUGGAAAGUUUCGGCGGUUGGGGAUGGACUCGCGGCUUAUCAGCUUGUUGGUGGGGUAGUGGCUUACCAAGGCUUUGACGGGUAGCCGGCCUGAGAGGGUGACCGGCCACAUUGGGACUGAGAUACGGCCCAGACUCCUACGGGAGGCAGCAGUGGGGAAUAUUGCACAAUGGGCGGAAGCCUGAUGCAGCAACGCCGCGUGCGGGAUGGCGGCCUUCGGGUUGUAAACCGCUUUCGCCUGUGACGAAGCGUGAGUGACGGUAAUGGGUAAAGAAGCACCGGCUAACUACGUG